AUGGCGCAAGGCCAAAAUGUGCCAAAUCGCGUAGAACAACUUCUAAUUAGAGUUUGUAGUGUGAGUAAUAUGAUUACUGAUUCAUAAUAAGGAAGAAGGUUCAUAGAAAUUUUCAUUUCACCAACUUCCUGUGAAUCAAGUCUUAUUUACUCUAUACAUUGGUUCAUAGUCCAAAAGACACCAGUGUUAACGCACUGCAUUCUUAUAUUUCUUACUCAAUUUAUUUUAUUUGUACUUUGUAAUAUGUGGGGGAU
This 254-nucleotide long non-coding RNA is filed under the name Panax ginseng (ginseng). Its description in RNAcentral is "long non-coding RNA (PGIN_LNC014747)". The record is from RNAcentral. Lineage: Eukaryota; Viridiplantae; Streptophyta; Magnoliopsida; Apiales; Araliaceae.